AUGGCCGUUGCUCCCGGCGGGGUUCCCAGACCUCGAGCGCGGCAGUCGGCCGUGCUGCAACACGCGUCUGUGGGCGGCUUCGUGACGCACGCCGGGUGGGCGUCGGUACUGGAGGGCGUGGCCGGCGGCGUGCCCAUGGUGUGCCGUCCCUUCUUCAGCGACCAGAGGAUGAACGCGCGGAUGGUGGAGCACGUCUGGGGGUUCGGCACCGUCUUUGAGCAACCCAUGACGAGUGGGACCAUGUCGGCGGCCGUGUUGUCGCUGCUAGCCGGUGACAAAGUCACCCGGAUGCAGGAGAUGCGGGACAUGGCGGCCACCGCGUUCGCGCCCGGCAGCAGGAAGAACCUUGAUAAGCUUCUCAAGAUAGUCUGUCCAUCAUCAAUAGAGCACAGCCGCGGUGAUCAUGUCGACGAAGCAGCAGAAGUGACAAGAUGCGCCCCGACGACACAUGAUCAGCUGCUUGGUGCUAGCAGCCUAGCAAGCAAGCACCGUGGCUUGUUUUUCUGGCUUAUGCCAAAGUUUCCUACUCAAGGAAUAUAA
This 540-nucleotide ribosomal RNA is filed under the name Triticum aestivum (bread wheat). RNAcentral's name for it is "partial small subunit ribosomal RNA". Lineage: Eukaryota; Viridiplantae; Streptophyta; Magnoliopsida; Poales; Poaceae. The record is from RNAcentral.